UAAGGCGGGUCGAGUGACUGAAGCGAGUAAAAAUACAAUAUUUAGUUUGUUUUUAUUUAAACUUUUUAAUAGAUUUUAUUAAAUUUUCACCUUAAUUAUUAACUAUGUGAAAUCGAAACACUAUUUUUAUAUAUACACUGAAAGCGAAAUGGAUAUAUAAUAUAUAUAUAUACAUAUAAAUAUAAAUGUAUUAGA
This is a long non-coding RNA of Drosophila navojoa, 195 nucleotides long. The record is from RefSeq and is a predicted model, not a curated record. NCBI's taxonomy places the organism in Eukaryota, Metazoa, Arthropoda, Insecta, Diptera, Drosophilidae.